Molecule: RNA transcript, 2399 nt
Organism: Asparagus officinalis (garden asparagus)
Lineage: Eukaryota; Viridiplantae; Streptophyta; Magnoliopsida; Asparagales; Asparagaceae
Gene name: putative bifunctional dihydrofolate reductase-thymidylate synthase
Exons: 13
Source: RefSeq, a predicted model, not a curated record
UAUGGCGGCAGUCACUCUCGCUCAACACUGACAAAAGUUCUAGGGUUUCUCCCAAAAUUUUUGUUCGCGAUUCUGAAACAGUGAAACCCCAGGGCUUUUGGUUCGGGAUUCAGAUGUUGGCUCUCAGAUUAAUCUGCUUUGGAAACAUUCCCUCGAAGGUUUUCUCAAGCACACACGUUGUAUCAUCUUUCAUCAGAAGUUGCAGGUUUGGUGCUUGUCUUGUGAAACCUUGCCCGAUAGUUUUGGCAUUCAGCAAGGUUACAGGCUUUCACUAUUCUCGCACUAUACCAGUUAUGUCUGGUGAAAUCCCCAUGAGUGUUGCAGAUGGUAACACAUUUCAUGAGCCUCAAAGAACCUUUCAAGUUGUAGUUGCUGCCACGAGGGAAAUGGGCAUAGGCAAAGAUGGUAAAUUGCCCUGGAGGCUGCCAUCUGAUCUCAAAUUUUUCAAGGAGAUCACAAUGAGUACGUCAGAUCCCUUGAAAAAGAAUGCCGUGAUAAUGGGUAGAAAAACUUGGGAAAGUAUUCCCACACAGCACAGACCUUUGCCUGGCCGCCUGAAUGUUGUUCUAACUCGUUCGGGAAGUUUCGAUAUCGCGACAGCAGAGAAUGUUGUUAUCUGCGGGAGCGUAAAUUCUGCCUUAGACCUGCUAGCUGCAUCCCCUUAUUGCUUCUCAACCGAGAAAGUGUUUGUUAUAGGAGGUGGGCAGGUGUUAAGGGAAGCUCUGAAUGCACCUGGAUGUGAAGCCAUUCAUUUCACUGACAUAGAAACAAGUAUUGAUUGUGACACUUUCAUCCCUCCAAUUGACUUGACUGUUUUUCAGCCAUGGUAUUCAUCGUUCCCAGUGAAAGAGAACAACCUUAGGUAUUCUUUCAGGACAUAUGUGCGCGUGCGGAGUUCUGCUACUGACCUUAGUUCUCUGCAAAAUGGGGAAACAACCACUACUAAUUUAAAGAUGGAUAAGUUUGAAAUUGAGCAGUUUUCAUUUCUUCCGAAAAUGAUAUUUGAAAGACAUGAAGAAUACAUGUAUCUCAGACUUGUUCAAGAUAUCAUAGCAAAUGGUGCUGAAAAGAAUGAUAGGACUGGGACUGGGACACUCUCAAAGUUUGGCUGUCAGAUGCGGUUCAAUUUGAGAAGAUCUUUUCCAUUGCUCACAACUAAGAAAGUAUUUUGGCGAGGAGUUGUUGAAGAACUAUUGUGGUUCAUCAGUGGUUCCACAAAUGCAAAGGUUUUACAGGAAAAGGGUAUACAUAUUUGGGAUGGAAAUGCAUCAAGAGGAUAUCUUGACAGUAUUGGUUUAACUCUUAGAGAAGAAGGAGAUUUAGGGCCAAUAUACGGGUUUCAGUGGAGGCACUUCGGUGCUGAAUACAUUAACAUGCAUGCUGACUACUCUGGGAAAGGAUUUGAUCAGCUGCUGGAUGUAAUUGAUAAAAUAAAGAAUAAUCCAGAUGAUCGGCGCAUAGUUCUUUCAGCUUGGAAUCCUUCAGAUCUUAAACAAAUGGCUCUUCCUCCUUGUCAUAUGUUUGCACAGUUCUAUGUGGAGAAUGGGGAGUUAUCGUGCCAAAUGUACCAGCGAUCUGCAGACAUGGGUCUUGGGGUGCCGUUUAAUAUCGCAUCUUAUUCUCUUUUGACAUGCAUGAUUGCUCAAGUUUGUGAUCUUGUUCCUGGUGAUUUUGUCCAUGUUAUAGGAGAUGCUCACGUCUAUAGAACCCAUGUUAGGCCUUUGCAAGAGCAGCUGCAGAAGCAGCCCAAACCAUUUCCAAUAUUGAAAAUUAAUCCUGAGAAGAAGGAUAUUGACUCAUUCGAGGCAUCUGACUUUAAACUUGUUGGAUAUGACCCCCACUUGAAGAUAGACAUGAAAAUGGCUGUGUAGGGCCAUAAACUCUGCACACUUGGAAGAAAGCUGUCUUGCUGUUUUUUCCUUGGUGAUGAGAAUAUAAUUUAUAGAGUUUUCAAGAAUCUAUAUCAGGUUGCUUGUUGGUGGUGGCCUUUGUUUUGCUUAUGACUUGGAAGAAUUUACAAGAGUGUUCAUGAAUGAAGGCCGGGCUUGGCAAGGAGCAAGGAGCAAGGAGCAGAGUGGUCUGCUCGUCAUCUGUUUGGUUGUUGAUCUCCAAUCGUUCACUCUUGGUUUUCAUUACCCCGAAUGCAUAGUUAUUAUAGUUCAUUUAGUCUCAUAGUUGACUAAAUGGAGGCUCACCGGAUGCUUAUUAGAUAUUCAAUCUUCAACAAAUUGUUUUCAUGGAUGAGUUUUUUCUAGGUCUCUAGUAAAUGGUAUGAGAGUUAAUCUUAUGCUUCCAGUUGUAAGUGAAACUGAUGAACAUUGGUGGUCUACAUUGCAAUGCUCGGUUGGAACUUGUCUUGUGCGAAGCCGAAUGGUCGAUGCUUGGAUUGCACUAUUUUA